This 388-nucleotide ribosomal RNA is filed under the name uncultured bacterium. Its description in RNAcentral is "bacterial SSU rRNA". It matches the Rfam family "Bacterial small subunit ribosomal RNA", at positions 30 to 420 of the family's 1533-position model. The record is from RNAcentral.
AUUGAACGCUGGCGGCAUGCUUUACACAUGCAAGUCGAACGGUAACAGGUCUUCGGAUGCUGACGAGUGGCGAACGGGUGAGUAAUGCAUCGGAACGUGCCCAGUCGUGGGGGAUAACGCAGCGAAAGCUGUGCUAAUACCGCAUACGAUCUAUGGAUGAAAGCGGGGGACCUUAGGGCCUCGCGCGAUUGGAGCGGCCGAUGUCAGAUUAGCUAGUUGGUGGGGUAAAGGCCCACCAAGGCGACGAUCUGUAGCUGGUCUGAGAGGACGACCAGCCACACUGGGACUGAGACACGGCCCAGACUCCUACGGGAGGCAGCAGUGGGGAAUUUUGGACAAUGGGCGCAAGCCUGAUCCAGCAAUGCCGCGUGCAGGAAGAAGGCCUCGG